Molecule: ribosomal RNA, 433 nt
Filed under: uncultured bacterium
Lineage: Bacteria
Description: partial 16S ribosomal RNA
Rfam family: Bacterial small subunit ribosomal RNA
Source: RNAcentral
AACGAACGCUGGCGGCAUGCCUAACACAUGCAAGUCGAACGAGACCUUCGGGUAUAGUGGCGAACGGGUGCGUAACGCGUGGGAACCUGCCCUUAGGUUCGGAAUACCUCCCCGAAAGGGGUGCUAAUACCGGAUAAUGUCUUCGGACCAAUGAUUUAUUGCCUUUGGAUGGGCCCGCGUUGGAUUAGCUAGUUGGUAGGGUAAAAGCCUACCAAGGCGACGAUCCAUAGCUGGUCUGAGAGGAUGAUCAGCCACACUGGGACUGAGACACGGCCCAGACUCCUACGGGAGGAAGAAGUGGGGAAUAUGGGACAAUGGGCGAAAGCCUGAGCCAGCAAGGCCGUGUGAGUGAUGAAGGCCUUAGGGUUGUAAAGCUCUUUUAACCGGGAUGAUAGUGACAGUACCGGGAGAAUAAGCGCCGGCUAACUCCGUG